Molecule: ribosomal RNA, 841 nt
Filed under: uncultured bacterium
Lineage: Bacteria
Description: bacterial SSU rRNA
Rfam family: Bacterial small subunit ribosomal RNA
Source: RNAcentral
CGAUCGCUGGCGGCAGGCUAACACAUGCAAGUCGAGCGGAACGAGUUAUCUGAACCUUCGGGGAACGAUAACGGCGUCGAGCGGCGGACGGGUGAGUAAUGCCUAGGAAAUUGCCUUGAUGUGGGGGAUAACCAUUGGAAACGAUGGCUAAUACCGCAUAAUGCCUACGGGCCAAAGAGGGGGACCUUCGGGCCUCUCGCGUCAAGAUAUGCCUAGGUGGGAUUAGCUAGUUGGUGAGGUAAUGGCUCACCAAGGCGACGAUCCCUAGCUGGUCUGAGAGGAUGAUCAGCCACACUGGAACUGAGACACGGUCCAGACUCCUACGGGAGGCAGCAGUGGGGAAUAUUGCACAAUGGGCGAAAGCCUGAUGCAGCCAUGCCGCGUGUAUGAAGAAGGCCUUCGGGUUGUAAAGUACUUUCAGUUGUGAGGAAGGGGGUGUCGUUAAUAGCGGCAUCUCUUGACGUUAGCAACAGAAGAAGCACCGGCUAACUCCGUGCCAGCAGCCGCGGUAAUACGGAGGGUGCGAGCGUUAAUCGGAAUUACUGGGCGUAAAGCGCAUGCAGGUGGUUCAUUUAAGUCAGAUGGGAAAGCCCCGGGCUCAACCUCGGAACUGCAUUUGAAACUGGUGAAACUAGAGUACUGUAGAAGGGGGGUAGAAAUUUCAGGUGGUAGCGGUGAAAUGCGUAAAGAGACAGAUACUUGACACUCUCGAAUCCCAAAGCGUGGGGCGUAAACGAUGUCUACAUUGGAGGUGUGGGCUUUAGACCCUGGCUUUCCGGAGGCUAAAGCGUUAAUAGAACCGCCUCGGGGARGUACAGGUCCCACGAAUAUCAACCUCCAG